GCGGUGGUGGCGGAAUUGGCAGACGCGCUGGGUUUAGGACCCAGUCCCGAAAGGGGUGGAGGUUCGAGUCCUCUCCGCCGCA
RNAcentral lists this transfer RNA (82 nucleotides) under Planctomycetota bacterium. RNAcentral describes it as "tRNA-Leu". It matches the Rfam family "tRNA". Rfam says of the family: Transfer RNA (tRNA) molecules are approximately 80 nucleotides in length. Their secondary structure includes four short double-helical elements and three loops (D, anti-codon, and T loops). Further hydrogen bonds mediate the characteristic L-shaped molecular structure. tRNAs have two regions of fundamental functional importance: the anti-codon, which is responsible for specific mRNA codon recognition, and the 3' end, to which the tRNAs corresponding amino acid is attached (by aminoacyl-tRNA synthetases). tRNAs cope with the degeneracy of the genetic code in two manners: having more than one tRNA (with a specific anti-codon) for a particular amino acid; and 'wobble' base-pairing, i.e. permitting non-standard base-pairing at the 3rd anti-codon position. The record is from RNAcentral. Lineage: Bacteria; Pseudomonadati; Planctomycetota. RNAcentral also lists the same sequence under 1 other name.